UACAGAGGUCUCAAGCGUUGUUCGGAUUCAUUGGGCGUAAAGGGUGCGUAGGCGGCGCGGUAAGUCGGGUGUGAAAUCCCGGGGCUCAACCCCGGAACUGCAUCCGAUACUGCCAUGCUAGAGGAUUGGAGAGGUAGCUGGAAUUCUUGGUGUAGCAGUGAAAUGCGUGGAGAUCAAAGAGGAACACUCGUGGCGAAAGCGAGCUACUGGACAAUAUCUGACGUGAGGCUCGAAGGCCAGGGUAGCGAAAGGG
RNAcentral lists this ribosomal RNA (253 nucleotides) under uncultured bacterium. Its description in RNAcentral is "partial 16S ribosomal RNA". It matches the Rfam family "Bacterial small subunit ribosomal RNA", at positions 524 to 776 of the family's 1533-position model. The record is from RNAcentral.